GCCUUUCUGGAGACAUCACAUAAGAUCCUAACGAUAAAAAGAAGAUGAGCUCCUCUGUGCAAGGAUGACACGCACAAAUCCUGAAACGGUCCAUAUUUUU
Small nuclear RNA from Elaeis guineensis (African oil palm), 100 nucleotides. NCBI's taxonomy places the organism in Eukaryota, Viridiplantae, Streptophyta, Magnoliopsida, Arecales, Arecaceae. The record is from RefSeq and is a predicted model, not a curated record.